AUUGAACGCUGGCGGCAGGCCUAACACAUGCAAGUCGAGCGGUUGACGGGAGCUUGCUCCCUGAUUCAGCGGCGGACGGGUGAGUAAUGCCUAGGAAUCUGCCUAUUAGUGGGGGACAACGUUUCGAAAGGAACGCUAAUACCGCAUACGUCCUACGGGAGAAAGCAGGGGACCUUCGGGCCUUGCGCUAAUAGAUGAGCCUAGGUCGGAUUAGCUUGUUGGUGAGGUAAUGGCUCACCAAGGCGACGAUCCGUAACUGGUCUGAGAGGAUGAACAGUCACACUGGAACUGAGACACGGUCCAGACUCCUACGGGAGGAAGCAGUGGGGAAUAGUGGACAAUGGGCGAAAGCCUGAUCCAGCCAUGCCGCGUGUGUGAAGAAGGUCUUCGGAUUGUAAAGCACUUUAAGUUGGGAGGAAGGGUUGUAGAUUAAUACUCUGCAAUUUUGACGUUACCGACAGAAUAAGCACCGGCUAACUCUGUGCCAGCAGCCGCAGUAA
RNAcentral lists this ribosomal RNA (500 nucleotides) under uncultured bacterium. RNAcentral describes it as "partial 16S ribosomal RNA". It matches the Rfam family "Bacterial small subunit ribosomal RNA", at positions 30 to 523 of the family's 1533-position model. The record is from RNAcentral.